RNAcentral lists this ribosomal RNA (253 nucleotides) under uncultured bacterium. RNAcentral describes it as "partial 16S ribosomal RNA". It matches the Rfam family "Bacterial small subunit ribosomal RNA", at positions 524 to 776 of the family's 1533-position model. The record is from RNAcentral.
UACGAAGGGGGCUAGCGUUGUUCGGAAUUACUGGGCGUAAAGCGCGCGCAGGCGGUCCUUCAAGUCAGGGGUGAAAGCCCAGGGCUCAACCCUGGAAUGGCCUUUGAGACUAGAGGACUUGGGUACGGGAGAGGUGAGUGGAAUUCCGAGUGUAGAGGUGAAAUUCGUAGAUAUUCGGAGGAACACCAGUGGCGAAGGCGGCUCACUGGUCCAUUACUGACGCUGAGGUGCGAAAGCGUGGGGAGCAAACAGG